Alosa sapidissima (American shad) is the source of this 483-nucleotide long non-coding RNA. RefSeq lists it as uncharacterized. NCBI's taxonomy places the organism in Eukaryota, Metazoa, Chordata, Actinopteri, Clupeiformes, Clupeidae. The record is from RefSeq and is a predicted model, not a curated record. The transcript has 4 exons.
GGACGGCCACCAAGAGUCUUCUGCCUCACGGCUGCGCGCGCAAUUUGUUGGUAAACGGGAAACCCGUGUAUACACGGCUUGGGUUAUCGUGAGUCAAACGAACAACUACGUUCUCACUGGAAACUGUAGCCUACUUAUUUCAAAUUUAACCGAUGACUUUUUCGGUUCUGGCACCCGACAGCACAGCAAGAUGAGACCAUGAUAACCUUUAGCCUCCCAAAUAUAUGACUGUUGGUUUAGCUUCCCAGCUGAGGUGAUGGUUUGUUUUGCCUCCAGUGGACGUAAUGACGUAGGCUGAGAAGAAGGCUUUCACCUGACCUAUACAAAGGCUGCAACAAAGUUAAUGUUUGGAAAGACAGAAGAAGUUGAGCAGACAAAGAGAAGGAGGGAAGGAAGAAUGUACACUUAAAUCUGCACAAAGUCCUUGUGGUGAAAGUGCUGUGGAGAAAUUGCAGGAUUUUUUGGCUCUGCCACCUAACCACG